Molecule: microRNA precursor, 87 nt
Organism: Equus asinus (donkey)
Lineage: Eukaryota; Metazoa; Chordata; Mammalia; Perissodactyla; Equidae
Source: Ensembl
CUGAGGUAGGGCUUUAUCUCCACACUGGCAUCUUGUUUGUAUUACAUAUGAGAUGUUUUGGGGUGGAGAUAGUGCCCUGCUUCCCUC